Long non-coding RNA from Heterocephalus glaber (naked mole-rat), 4440 nucleotides. The record is from Ensembl. Lineage: Eukaryota; Metazoa; Chordata; Mammalia; Rodentia; Bathyergidae.
CUUGGAUGCCCAUGUGCACCACCUCCGGUACUACCAGAGUGAUGACUCCUCCUGUGCUGAGUGUCAGCUGAGCAUGUGGAUUGGGAAAUGGGCCCCUCCCAAGCCCAAGCUUGACUGGAAUCUUAUAAAAGGUUCUCCCAGCUGUCCACUGCUCAGUCCAUUGCCUACCUGCAGCAGGUGUCACCUUCUGCUUGGAGAGCUGAGUGAGUCUUCCAGUGGAGCCGGCUUCUGGUUCGCCUUGAGGAGGUCAAGCAUGUCCCAGCAGGGUGCAUCGUCCGCCAAAGGCUUCUCCAAGGGGUCUUCGCAGGGCCCCACUCCGUGCCCCGCCCCGGCGCCGGCUCCGGUGCCCUCCCGCUCCUCUUCUUGCUGCGGCGGCUGCUGUGGAGACACCGGCUGCUGCGGCUCCGGCUCCACCGGCUGCUGCUGCUUCCCCAGGAGGCGCCGCCGGCAGCGCGGGGGCUGCUGCUGCUGCAGGAGCAGCCAGAGAUCGCAGGGCUCCUGCAAUAACCACAGCUCAGGCUGCUGCGGAGGCUGCUGAGCUGGCCGAGCCCACGCUGAGCCCAGCGCGACCCCUCCCCGUGUGUGUGACAGCUCCGGGCGGGCUGGGCCUCCGAGUCAGACUCCGCAAAGCUAACUGCACUCCGAUGCCCUGGAGCCCACUGUGUCCUCAGUCCCAGUGGGAUGUCCCUCUGGGGGUCUGCGGGCCGCGGAUGGAACCCUGGACUCUAGUAUGUGCAGGGGCCCGUACGCAGCAGGUGCUUAAAACGUGCCCACUGAGUUGUCCUGUGAAGACGCCAUAAUAAAGCUUCUACCUGCUGAGAACACUUCUUUCCCUGUUCAUUUCCUCAUCGUGUGUUUAUUAGCCUUACUUUAUUACCUCAUUCACGACCACUCACAGGAGGUAAAAGAAGAAAAACUUUAUGCUGGAAAAAGCAUGUGGCCUUCUGGUAGUUAACUGCAAUAGCCGGGAUUACCUAUCAACUCUCCUAGGUAUUCUAAGAAUUUUUCGAGGCAAGCGUCAUCAGAUUUCCCGGAUGACUCACUAAGUGGGUGUUGUUGCGCCCGUUUUGUAGAAGAGAAACUGAGGUUAAGUACUCUGCAGUCACUUAGGCUUGCCUGCUGAGGAGGACUGGACAUGUGAUUCCAGGGCUUGCUCUGCCACCGCUCUGCUCUGCGGGGGCCCCAGCCACACACCCUCUGUGUGGCUGAGGUUCGGAUGGGAAACUUCAGGGGACUUUGGACGCAGGGCCGCUGAGGUUUGUUUGUUAUUGCUUUUGUUUUGUUUCUUGUCAGGGAGGAUCCUCGAGCCUGGCUCAGUGUGGAGACUUUCUAAACUGUGCCUUUCCAGAGACUAGAGCUGCCUCCCCCUUGUAGCCCAGGGAGGGUCAGGACCCCAGGGAUGUGACAUGCUGUGCUCAGAAAAGCACCAACCUCCUUUCCUGGUAAGGGUGGUGGUGCCAUCAUGAAUAGGACAGAAGCCCGGCGGUGGGCCAGGGUUUGAUGGCUCACUGUAGGGGAGAGGAAGUACCAGGAAGAGCCUUCCACAUGGUGUCAGCUGGGUUCAGAGAGGAGGAAAUCAUAAUGGUGAUAAUCAUAGGUAAUAAAGUAGCUACUAACUUUGUUCCAGACACAUGCUGAGGCACCUUAUAUAUUAUGUCACUUAAUCCGCAUGUAAUCUCUCAAAAAUAGACAUUGACUCCUCUCUCUUUAUAUAUUGGGGUUCAAGGAGUUUCAGUGAUUUGGCUCAGAGAUGCACAGGUAGCCUCUGACACCGAGUGAUAGAUUUGAGAUUCGAACUGAAGACCUUAACACCAAAGUGGAUGCUCUCGUGCCCACUGUCACGCUCUACAACCUUAGAAAUCACCGCCUCGCAGGGGAAGAGGUACUUGAGAGACACACCCAGGCUCUUAGGAAAUUACAGCUUGGCUUCUCAGCCACUGUGGUAUUCAUGAUCGAGUGACUGGAGCGCUCUGACACAGCAUCCACCCAAAGGCAUCUACUCGAGGUAGCUCCUCGGAGACAAGGUCAGAAAUGUUCACUGAUUCAUCAGGCUGUUUAAAGCUGAGGUCAAGCAACCCCCAUGAAGGAGGCUCGCAAGGGCAGCCUGCCAUGCACGGGAGUGGCCCUCGCUUCCAUCCCUGAGAUUCUGUGGUUCCCCGUGGGAGGGGACUGGUGGAAGCUGUUAGUAAACAGAUGACGCCACCCAGGACCUGCCUCCUCCACACGAGGAGCGUGAGGUGCGUGGCAGCAACAGACCCUGGGAUUGGUGGACUGAGUCAGGAAGGGAAACAGCUUGACUCAGAGCAGACUGGAAAGCCAACCGAGGGCCAGGGGCAGCCCCAGAGCAGGAAGCCGAAGCUGAGUAUUGGGAAAGAAAGUGGCUUACCAGGAGACACGUGAAUGUGAACGGGAAUACAUCCCUGUGCACAUGAGGCGCGUGGACGGUGUUGCGUGGCUCACUGUGAGGGUGGCAGCAGCAGGGGUCCCACGCAUUGCUGAAGCCCCGCAAGCACACAGCAGGGAGACAGAUGGUUUCAGGGUUCCGCCCUCACUGGCAACUUGAGGCCAUGAGUGUUUAAGGGCUGCUUCCAGGUACCUUGGCCACCAGACACUUUCACUAACUACCCCCUUUCUCUGAAAAUAAGACCGGGCUGGAAAAUAAUCAGCCUUGGAAACGAGAGAUGAAAAGUGCCUAAGUCAGCCCAUCUGGCCUUCCCCGGCGUCAGUGUUCUCCUGCUCGGUGGCUGCUGUGUAAGGCGGGGAAGGCAGGAUGGGCUGAUGGGGGCUGGCAGUUUUCAUCUCUCGUUUUCAAGGCUGAUUAUUUUCCAGCCCGGUCUUGUUUUCAGGAAAAGAGGGUACUAAAAGAGUAGCUUUGCGUCUAGUCACUCAGCACACUGAAUUGCUAGGGCGAUCAAUAGCAUGCUCGAAGCUUGGCAUUAUUUUAUUCACUUCUUGCAACUUCCCCGCAAGAUAAGUUUCCUCCACUUUUUCUUGGUAAGAAAACUGGUACACGGGACUGUUGGUUAGCUCAUAAAUGGCAGAAUAAGGCUUUGGGCUUGAUGUUUCUGGUUCCCAAAUCAACCUUUUCAACCAAAUUCUAUACUACGCAUUUCGGGGACGAAGAGGAAUAGCUGUGUACUUGACGGAUGAAGGAGAAAGGGGGUCUGAGGGCAUGGUGGUGGGGUAGAAAAAUCCUUGUGGCACAUUCUCAGAGAGGGAGAGAGGAAACCAGGUCAAGAAUGAUUUGAGCACCAAUUAAAGGAAUUUAAAUGCUAUAUUUGCGGUGUAAUAGGAAAAUAGUGCUGAAAGAAAUACUUCAAAGAGGUAGGAGUUGACCCACAUAGCAUCUACAGUGGUCUUGGCCAUGCCCUUAAGAUUAACCAGGUGCAAGAGUUGGCGUGCUCUAGAGUGAUGUGUCCAGAGCAAUACCACUGUGGGCAGGAGCAAUGGCCUGGGCUUGCCGCGGGAGUCUGAACCCUGCACACAGGGUGAGUCAGAAAAGGAAAUGAUAGACAUGCAAAGCACUUGUCUGGAAGGAAGGAGAAUAGAUAAAGUUGGGUGCAGUGUUGGGAUGAGGAUGGGACUGCGACUCCAGAUACAGAGUCCUUGAGAACUGGAAUGAACACAGCUGAGAUAAAUACUAAGACGCCGUACAAAGGUGGGAGCCAGUCUUAGUGAAUGGAUGUGGUUUCGCUUCUGCAGCGAAAGAUACGAGCCAACAGACGGCUCUGUCUUUUGCAGCCCAGAGAUCUCCGUGUAAAGAACAAAAAUGGAGACGCUGGGGUGCACAAGGACUAUGUGGUGAGAAAUGAAUAAAUGAAUGGGCAAAACAGACACCUACGAGGUUAGCUGAGGAGGAGACCAAACGGUGAGGGAGAAGCUGAGUUACACGCGAAGAGGACGAAGACAAUGGAGUCCGAGAAAUCCCUCAGAGACGUGGCCUAGACAGUUUGUAAGGCUCUGGCUCUAGAAAUCCAGGCGGAAGAGAACCAAGAUUGCAGAAGCUGGAGGGUGUCGCACGCUCAGACAGGAUCUCACUGAGUUGCCCGGACAGGACUGAAACUUGUGGUUCUCCUUGCUCAGCUUCCAUAAAUGUGGGAAUUACAAGAGUGCACCUCUGUGGCCAGCUUUAAUUUUCUCUUGUGGAGGAAGGUUUCCUUUUAGAAGCAUGAAGGAUAUUCCAGAAACCACUAUUCUAAAUCAUUUCAACAUAUAGUCAGCGCUCUGUCCACAGGUUCUGUGUCCAUGGAUUCAAACAACUGCAUUGAAAAUAUGUUUUAAAAGUUGCCUUUGUACUAAACAUGUGCAGAAUUUGUAAAAUUUUCACUAUGCCCUCAACAAUCCACAACGACAACUAUUUAUGUUGCAUUUACAUUGUGUUAGGUAUUAUAAAUAAUCUAGCACUGAUGUAAAGUAUGGGAGAAUGUGCGUAGGUUAGGU